CAUGCAAGUCGAACGAGAAUCUACUGAAAGAGUUUUCGGACAAUGGAUGUAGAGGAAAGUGGCGGACGGGUGAGUAACGCGUGAGGAACCUGCCUUGAAGAGGGGGACAACAGUUGGAAACGACUGCUAAUACCGCAUGACGCAUAGAGGUCGCAUAAUCUUUAUGCCAAAGAUUUAUCGCUUCAAGAUGGCCUCGCGUCUGAUUAGCUGGUUGGCGGGGUAACGGCCCACCAAGGCAACGAUCAGUAGCCGGACUGAGAGGUUGAACGGCCACAUUGGGACUGAGAUACGGCCCAGACUCCUACGGGAGGCAGCAGUGGGGAAUAUUGGGCAAUGGGCGCAAGCCUGACCCAGCAACGCCGCGUGAAGGAAGAAGGCUUUCGGGUUGUAAACUUCUUUUAAGAGGGAAGAGCAGAAGACGGUACCUCUAGAAUAAGCCACGGCUAACUACGUGCCAGCAGCCGCGGUAAUACGUAGGUGGCAAGCGUUGUCCGGAUUUACUGGGUGUAAAGGGCGUGCAGCCGGGUCUGCAAGUCAGAUGUGAAAUCCAUGGGCUCAACCCAUGAACUGCAUUUGAAACUGUAGAUCUUGAGUGUCGGAGGGGCAAUCGGAAUUCCUAGUGUAGCGGUGAAAUGCGUAGAUAUUAGGAGGAACACCAGUGGCGAAGGCGGAUUGCUGGACGAUAACUGAC
RNAcentral lists this ribosomal RNA (691 nucleotides) under uncultured bacterium. Its description in RNAcentral is "bacterial SSU rRNA". It matches the Rfam family "Bacterial small subunit ribosomal RNA", at positions 54 to 744 of the family's 1533-position model. The record is from RNAcentral.